Molecule: long non-coding RNA, 2183 nt
Organism: Nothobranchius furzeri (turquoise killifish)
Lineage: Eukaryota; Metazoa; Chordata; Actinopteri; Cyprinodontiformes; Nothobranchiidae
Source: RefSeq, a predicted model, not a curated record
UGUUUUAAGAUGUCUACUUUAUUUCCUAUUUUUCAGAGGAGUUUCCAGACCAAGAGCUGACCAAGGCCCACACUGUGAAGCACCACUGCGGUCCCUCUUACUGACAAGGAUGUUGAACUUUGAUUUUGCAGUGAUUGGGAAUCAAGCUCUACACGGAUCUCCAUUGGAUCACAAAUCAAAAUCUGCAAUAUUCCUUAUUGACUGGACCUGUAGUAUCGGAUUAGAUUUGUGCCAGUAGGAUCAAGAAAAACAUUUUGAAGAUCAAACAAAAACUAAGAAAUUGAAAGAACAAAAAUAUUGACUAAAGGGGAAAAAAAAGUUUCAAAAGUAAAACUUACUAUCUGAAUCAACUUCUUAAAAUGAGUAACAAAGUAUGUUUCCUUUUUCUGUUUGCCUCUAUAUGUUUUCGUUAUCAGUUUUCUUAGUUUCGUUCUCGCUGAUUUGCACUUACACUGUCUGGCUUUCUCCUUUACAAUCCCUGAGUUUUUGGUUGCAAUUCUGACACAACCCUUUCGGGUGAGUGGGACUUCUGAGAAGUCCUCUCCCAUAGGACAGUGGUUUCUCUUGAGUGACAGUUCAGUGACCUGGAAGCGAUGUAGCCUCCAAGACUUUUUUUCCCCCACCUCGGUCAACAACAUGAAUUUUGAGCCCCAAACACGUUAUUUCUGCUGUCUGUGGUGUCUACUAAGGAUCUAAAGUGAGUAUUGAUAAUAUAUUUUAUCUUUUCUUAGUUAAUCUGUGAGUUAAGCCACUUUUUAAGUUGGUUUUAACCAGACGUUAGCUCACCAGCUAGCUGCUAAGCAAGCCAUUGUGCUAGCCUCAGGACAAUGGUCUAUUGUUCCAGAAAGACGUAUUAAAAACUCAUCUUAACAUAUUCAUUUUUAUUCCAUGUUACUUGGACGGGCUAAACAAGUUCGUAGUUCUGCCUGCUCCUUGUGAAACAUUUUUUUUCCUUUAGUCAAUGUGCUGACACUUCCUGUUGUCAGCCAGCUGGGUGAGGGCGGAGGCGGCUUCUGACGCGCUUCUAUUCAUAAAUCAAACCUCUUUUUGUCUGUGCGUUAGUCUUGUUUAUUUUCUUUUACAAGCAUUUAGCUGGCGUUUUACAUGAUGCGGUUUCAAGGAUAGUAGUGCUCCCAGUUGAUCGUCACAAAAAGGAAGUAUAUCGUGCCAUGGUGUCGCGAGCGGUAAAAACCGUUUGCUCAUCCCGCCACCCAUGCGUAAUCGGCUCUCUCGAAACACCUGAGGACCCACUUAAAUCACAUGUGACGCACCCGACACCACCGCCACCACUGAUGAAAGCCCAACCCACAAAAUAAAUGGCUCCUACAGUCAAUAUUUUUGUUCUGUCAAUUUCUUAAAUUUUGUUUGACCGUCAAAGUGUUUUUCUUGAUCAUUUUAAGAAUCUGAUUCAGAUCGUAAGUUUUUCUUUUGAAACAAUUUUUUUUCUCUCAAUGUCUUAAUAUUUGUUUGAUCUUCAAAAUGUUUUUCUUGAUCCUAUUGGCACAAAUCUAAUCCCAUACUCACCUCUGCAUGACGCUGCACAAAAAGAGGAGGACUGGAAUUUCAGGCAAGAUGAAAAAACUCAUGAAGACUUUUGAGAACAGCCAAUAGGACAAGAAUGAACAGCAAGCCCUGGCUGACCUGCUACUGCACCUGAAGGAGGAUUUGGACAUCCGUUACACUUACAAGGGGGAGUUGGAGGCAGCUGUAAAUGAAGAGCCUUCUGCUGAAGUUCCCUUUGAGAGUCUCCAUGUGUCCUCCUUUGCCCUUGAGGCUGUUCCACAGAUCCCAGCCAGAUUCACUGCUGAUUUGGUUUGGACUGAUGCAUAAUCUUCAAAAGAGCAACUCUGAAAAGCUCAUUUUAUCCAUGUCAUCGUUUAAAUCUGAAUGCUGGAAAAAAGCAACUUCAACCUAAGCUACAGGCUCUCAGAAACGAGCUGGAAUAAAACAUUUUCUUAAAUUCAUGUUCUCAGUUGUUUUACAUGCAUGCACAAAUAAUGGCAAUUUCAUUGGAAAAUAUCCUUUUUCUUUUGUAUAUGUUUUGUUAAUUAUAUGUUUAAGUUGACUGUUAAAUAACUUCUCAUAACGGGUGACUUUAAUAUUCAUGUUGAUGAUGCUAAUGACAAAUCUGCAGAACAAUUUCUUGGGGUGCUCAAAUUAUUUGAUCUUCAACAAAAUGUCCA